AUGAACGCUGGCGGCGUGCUUAACACAUGCAAGUCGAACGAGAAAUGGAGACGGAAACCUUCGGGCGGAAGGCUUCAUUUCGAGUGGCGGACGGGUGAGUAACGCGUGGGUAACCUGCCUCAUACAGGGGGAUAACAGUUGGAAACGACUGUUAAUACCGCAUAAGACCACAGCACCGCAUGGUGCGGGGGUAAAAACUCCGGUGGUAUGAGAUGGACCCGCGUUCGAUUAGCCAGUUGGCGGGGUAACGGCCCACCAAAGCGACGAUCGAUAGCCGAUCUGAGAGGAUGACCGGCCACAUUGGGACUGAGACACGGCCCAAACUCCUACGGGAGGCAGCAGUGGGGAAUAUUGCACAAUGGGGGAAACCCUGAUGCAGCGACGCCGCGUGAGUGAAGAAGUACUUCGGUAUGUAAAGCUCUAUCAGCAGGGAAGAAAAUGACGGUACCUGAGUAAGAAGCCCCGGCUAACUACGUG
This 477-nucleotide ribosomal RNA is filed under the name uncultured bacterium. Its description in RNAcentral is "partial 16S ribosomal RNA". It matches the Rfam family "Bacterial small subunit ribosomal RNA", at positions 29 to 507 of the family's 1533-position model. The record is from RNAcentral.